GGCCAUACCACCCUGAACGCGCCCGAUCUCGUCUGAUCUCAGAAGCUAACAGGGUCGGGCCUGGUUAGUACUUGGGUGGGAGAAUUCAAUGUUAAUACACUGCCUAGCACGAUAUGGGGCACCCAGGAAGUC
This 132-nucleotide ribosomal RNA is filed under the name Mustela putorius furo (domestic ferret). The record is from RNAcentral. Lineage: Eukaryota; Metazoa; Chordata; Mammalia; Carnivora; Mustelidae.